UGAGGAAUAUUGGACAAUGGGCGCAAGCCUGAUCCAGCAACGCCGCGUGGAGGAUGAAGGCCUUCGGGUUGUAAACUUCUUUUAGUGGGGACAAGGAAGGAUGGUACCCACAGAAUAAGUCACGGCUAACUACGUGCCAGCAGCCGCGGUAAUACGUAGGUGACGAGCGUUAUCCGGAAUUAUUGGGCGUAAAGCGUACGCAAGCGGUUGAUAAAGUCUGACGUGAAAUUUCUUGGCUUAACCGAGAGGGGUCGUUGGAAACUAAUCGGCUUGAGGCGAUGAGAGGAGUGCGGAAUUCCCGGUGUAGUGGUGGAAUGCGUAGAUAUCGGGAGGAACAUCAGUGGCGAAAGCGGCACUCUGGCAUUAGCCUGACGCGCAGGUACGAAAGCGUGGGGAGUGAACGGG
This 405-nucleotide ribosomal RNA is filed under the name uncultured bacterium. RNAcentral's name for it is "bacterial SSU rRNA". It matches the Rfam family "Bacterial small subunit ribosomal RNA", at positions 355 to 776 of the family's 1533-position model. The record is from RNAcentral.